RNAcentral lists this ribosomal RNA (1319 nucleotides) under metagenome. Its description in RNAcentral is "bacterial LSU rRNA". It matches the Rfam family "Bacterial large subunit ribosomal RNA", at positions 1584 to 2925 of the family's 2925-position model. The record is from RNAcentral.
GAGGGAAGCACGUGAGCUGACUGUCAAGAAAAGCCGCUAUUGUUUGCAGGAUACCCGUACCGUAAACCGACACAGGUGGAUGAGGAGAGAAUCCUAAGGCCGACGGGAGAAGCAUUGUUAAGGAACUCGGCAAAAUAACUCCGUAACUUCGGGAGAAGGAGUGCCAGUAAGAUGGCCGCAGAGAAUUGGCCCAAGCAACUGUUUAGCAAAAACACAGGUCUAUGCAAAACCGAAAGGUGAGGUAUGGGCUGACGCCUGCCCGGUGCUGGAAGGUUAAGGGGAGAGGUUAGCGCAAGCGAAGCUUUGAACUUAAGCCCCGGUAAACGGCGGCCGUAACAAUAACGGUCCUAAGGUAGCGAAAUUCCUUGUCGGGUAAGUUCCGACCCGCACGAAAGGCGUAAUGAUUUGGGCACUGUCUCAACAAUGCACCCGGUGAAAUUGAAAUACCAGUGAAGAUGCUGGUUACCUGCGCCAGGACGGAAAGACCCCAUGGAGCUUUACUCCAGCUUGAUACUGGGAUUCGGUAUUGCAUGUACAGGAUAGGUGGGAGGCUAGGAAAUGGUAACGCCAGUUGCCAUGGAGCCGAUGUUGGGAUACCACCCUUGCAGUACUGGGUUUCUAACCAGCAGCCGUGAUCCGGCUGGGGGACAAUGUCAGGUGGGGAGUUUGACUGGGGCGGUCGCCUCCGAAAGGGUAUCGGAGGCGCUCAAAGGUUCCCUCAGAAUGGUUGGAAACCAUUCGAAGAGUGCAAAGGCAGAAGGGAGCUUGACUGCGACACCGACGGGUGGAGCAGGUACGAAAGUAGGACUUAGUGAUCCGGUGGUAUAAAGUGGGAUUGCCAUCGCUCAACGGAUAAAAGCUACCCUGGGAUAACAGGCUUAUCACUCCCAAGAGUUCACAUCGACGGAGCGGUUUGGCACCUCGAUGUCGGCUCAUCGCAUCCUGGGGCUGAAGUAGGUCCCAAGGGUUGGGCUGUUCGCCCAUUAAAGCGGUACGCGAGCUGGGUUCAGAACGUCGUGAGACAGUUCGGUCCCUAUCCGGCGUGGGCGUAAGAUAUUUGAGAGGAGCUGUCCUUAGUACGAGAGGACCGGGAUGGACUGGCCGCUGGUGUAUCUGUUGUCUUACCAAAGGCAUAGCAGAGUAGCCAAGCCGGGAAGGGAUAAACGCUGAAGGCAUCUAAGCGUGAAGCCCCCCUCAAGAUGAGAUAUCUCAUAACGUCAAGUUAGUAAGACCCCUUGAAGACGACGAGGUAGAUAGGGCAGAGGUGGAAGUGUGGUAACACAUGGAGCUGACUGUUACUAAUAGGUCGAGGGCAUAAU